RNAcentral lists this ribosomal RNA (468 nucleotides) under uncultured bacterium. RNAcentral's name for it is "partial 16S ribosomal RNA". It matches the Rfam family "Bacterial small subunit ribosomal RNA", at positions 28 to 507 of the family's 1533-position model. The record is from RNAcentral.
GACGAACGCUGGCGGCGUGCUUAACACAUGCAAGUCGAACGGAAAGGCCCUGCUUUUGUGGGGUGCUCGAGUGGCGAACGGGUGAGUAACACGUGAGUAACCUGCCCUUGACUUUGGGAUAACUUCAGGAAACUGGGGCUAAUACCGGAUAGGAGCUCCUGCUGCAUGGUGGGGGUUGGAAAGUUUCGGCGGUUGGGGAUGGACUCGCGGCUUAUCAGCUUGUUGGUGGGGUAGUGGCUUACCAAGGCUUUGACGGGUAGCCGGCCUGAGAGGGUGACCGGCCACAUUGGGACUGAGAGACGGCCCAGACGCCUACGGGAGGCAGCAGUGGGGAAUAUUGCACAAUGGGCGGAAGCCUGAUGCAGAAACGCCGCGUGCGGGAUGACGGCCUUCGGGUUGUAAACCGCUUUCGCCUGUGACGAAGCGUGAGUGACGGUAAUGGGUAAAGAAGCACCGGCUAACUACGUG